GCAUGCAGCAGAGAUGCGAAUGUUGCGAUGGAUGUGUGGAGUAACGAAAAUGGAUAGAAUACGGAAUGAAUAUGUUAGAGGAAGUCUGAAAGUGGCACCUGUGACAGAGAAGCUGAGGAGUGCGCGUUUGGGAUGGUAUGGACAUGUGAUGAGACGAAAUGAAAAUGAGGUUGGUAAGAGAGGGUUAACUAUGAAUGUGGAAGGAUAUAGAGGAAGAGGUAGACCUAAGAAGAAAUGGAUAGAUUGUGUGAAAGACGAUAUGGGUAAGAGAGGAGUGAGCGAAGAAAUGGUAUAUGAUAGAAGAGUAUGGAAGGAGAAAACAUGUUGCGCCGAUCCCAGGUGACUGGGAGAAGGGCAGGAGAAUGAUGAAUGAUGAUGUGUUUCUUCAGCCCCACGUAAUCCUGCUUCAAAUUGUAAUUAGAAAUAUUGGUUUAGUUGUAGGUUAGUUUUGCUAUGUGACAUCACUGGUUUCCUUGGCCAUUUGUAACCGUAGUCUUUCAGGUAUGCGCUCUCUCGUAUUGGAAAGGUACAAAAUAGGUCUAGGAUUAGGCUGCGGGUCCCUUGAAUCGUUGAAGCGGGCCGCAGAUUCACGACCUCUGCGCAUGCGCGUAUGUCCCACUUCUUAAACUGCAAUUAAUAACAUACAGCGUUACAUAAGGAAUCUCUUUCAAAAAUCUUAAUACAUAGUUUAUAGUUCGUUUUUUGCACUGAUUCAGUAUUUUUUUUGAAGUGAAACUUCCUUAUCGGCGUUGGAAAAAAAUUUACCGUCACAUUUUUCGGUUACGCGUCACAUUUUUCCGUUACGCGCCAUCUUUUUUGUAUUCAUGUCUAUGAUAAUAAAAUCCUUUUGUUUAAACUUUAUCUAAUUUAACUUUUUUGUAUUCAUGUCUAUGAUAAUAAAAUCCUUUUGUUUAAACUUUAUCUAAUUUAACUUUAUUUAACCAAUUUCUAGAAAGUUGCAUGUAGAUCAUUUUUCGAAAAAUAAGGCCAUAAAGAAGUUUCACUUCUUACGUGUGUACACUAGUACACGCACACAUUUUUUAUUCCUUCCUUGUUAUCUUUAUGUAUAAAAGUUAAACAUGCUGUUAUUGUACCUGAUUGUAGUCGACGACUGAAGUAGUUGUGAAGAAAAUUCAGUAAACGCGGCUUUUAACCGACUUAAAAAAAACGCGUGAAGUUUUUCAAUUCGACUUAUCUAUUUUUUGCGUGCUACCUCAGAACUUUUUUCUAUGUGAACCGAUUUUGAUGAUUCUUUUUUUGAAAGGUUUGGUGCUUAUCAUAGGUUCCUAUUUAAGUUUUAUUAAGAUCUGAGCGGUAGUUUUUGAGUUAUCCUUAACGAUGCCUAUUUAAUUGACUUCGACUGCUACAUUGAUGAUAUUGUAAUUUUAUUUCGUUGAAGUCGGUAUUCUUUAUUUGUUUUAAAUUUCGGAGAAUUUAUUGUGUUGAAGUACUUAUCGCCUCAAAUUCCUCGGCCGAGUUUCGUGGGUUCGAUUCCCCUAUCGGGCCAACAUUCGUGUGAUGAACGGUUUUGUUUGCUCUUUGUCUGGGUGUUUAAUAUCUAUAUGUCUGUAUAUAUUUAAAGGUAUAUAAGGAUGUAUGACAAUCUCUGGUUCCCAUAGCACAGGGAAUCCUAGCUAGCUAGUUAGAUGACCGCGUGUGAUGUGUUCCCUGCUAUUAUUAUCAUUAAAUAAUGGCGUGACGGUAUUUGAUUGAUUUUGGAGGCUGAAAAGUCGAUGUCAAUUCAAAAAUGGAAAGGUUUAUUCGAGUGAUAUGAACAUAAAAUAAUUUUCUCAAUUAUGUACCUAUGUAGUAUAUAUCCUUCGGUUUUCACGGGUCGUAGAUCUAAUAGAAAUUAUUUUCUUACAGCUUAAUUUUUUUUUUUUUUUUUUUUUUUUUUUAUUGCCUUUGUAGGCAGACGGGCAUACGGCCCACCUGAUGGUGAGUGGUUACCGUCGCCCAUGGACUUCAGCAAUGCCAGGGGCAGAGCCAAGCCGCUGCCUACCGCUUAAUACUCUCCACAAGCCUCGUUUGAAGAAGGACAUGUCAUAGCGCUCGGGAAACACCGUGGAGGGGAGCUCAUUCCAUAGCCGGAUGGUACGUGGCAAAAAAGAUCUCUGGAAACGCACUGUGGAUGACCGCAGUGGCUCCAGGUAGUAUGGAUGAACUCUACUCCGGUGGCGGGCGGUGCGAUGGUAAAAACGAGAUGCUGGUAUCAUCUCGAACAAUUCCUCAGAGCACUCCCCAUGGAACAUACGGUACAAAAUACAGAGGGAACCGAAGUCCCUCCGCAGACCCAGAGGCUCCAUAAUAUCAUGUUUGUUUUCAUUAUCAUAAUGUUCUUUUCGACGGUUCGAGUACUUUACAUUUUUCAUGGACAUUUUUCAUAAUAAUAGGAGAUGUAUGGAAAUGGUAGUGCAAGGUAGAGGGGGAAGAGGUCGACCGAAGAAGACAUGGAUGGAGUGUGUGAAUGACGAUAUGAGAGAGAGAGGAGUGAGUGUUGAGAUGACGGCUGAUAGAAGAGAAUAAUUAGCUGUGCCGACCCCACCUAGUAGGAUAAGAUGGAGAAAAAGAAGAUUUUUCAUAAAAAUAUGAUUAAUAAAAAAAAAAAAACGAUUAUUCGUUAGGUGUCCGAUGUGUAGUUUUGAGCAGCAAUAACUCGCACUGUCUGCGGUUCUUUAAGAUUGUGUAAAUAUUUCGAAAUCGAACACCGCUUGUACGUCCGUAUCACGUCAUUACGGAUCCUCCCGAUCCGUUAACGGUGCUUUUAGGUACCUCAAGCACCGGUCGCCGUCCUUGCCGAACCCGUCGCUUGCGACAAAGGGCUCGACGAGUAAAUUAACCCACAGACACAACCCACAGUUUCUCGCCGGAUCUUCUCACUGGGUCGCGUUUCCGAUCCGGUGGCAGAUUUUGCGAAGCACUGCUCUUGCUAGGGCCAGUGUUAGCAACAGUCCCGGUUUGAGCGCCGUGAGCUCACCUACACGUCAAGGCAAAGCUGAAAUAGCCUCUCAACGCUAUCAGCAUAAAAAGAAAAAAAAACGUCCGUAUAUAACGGUCGUUAGUUGAACUAAUAAUUAAUUGCAUGAUAUUCUCUACAUCGGCCGUUUAGAAGUAGUAGUAGUAGUAGUAGUAGCAGCAGUAGUAUAGUGCGUUUUAAAGUGACCCUAAACGCCACCGAUGCUUAAUUUUCGUGAAAACUUGAAAAAUAUUUUUAUAAUACUAAGUUGUACAAUUAGUAGCAGGGUAAACGUUAGCACUGUGAUAAACUUAAAAUUAAGUUAUCGUUGUGGUGUUUGUAGUGCUAUUAAAAUGUUUAUUACCGGUUAUUAUUAAUAUUUGCCCACCACUAAAUCGCGUGUGGCUAGGAUCCACAGUGGCCACAGGAAAAGAUCUAACGAUGGGACAUGAGAUAUUGGUUUCUACAACUUACUUAAUCAGAGGACAGUACGAGGCGUAGAAAUUUUGAUUUCAGAUAUCUCUCGUCUCGAAGUGUUAGACAAAUUUUGUUACUGUUGGUAGAUAUGACUAACAUACCUGCCAUUUAAUAUGUCUGUCUUUUAUUGUGGCUUCCAAACACUCUUCAUUCUUAGAGUCAUAGUAGAUUUCACAUUAAAAUGGCCUAUCAAUUGUAUCUGUGGGAACCUAUAUAAUUUUACUAUGGUAGCUUUUACUGAGUCAGAAAUAAAUGUUGGGACUGACUAGUGCGGGCUUACAAUGCGUCCACUAACAGUAUAUAUGAGCAUUUGAUACGAAUAGUAGUGGAAUUCGUUGAUUGGUAGACGUCAGAUACAUAAUUAUGAAGAGAUGCGUUUGUUUAUAAUAAAAAUGGCGGCAUUGAUAGCGCAAACGUAAAAAUGUUGCGAAAUAAUGGUGAGAUUAUACAAAAAACAAAAUGCUCAUCAUCUCAGUCAUUAACUACUUUGUAAAAUAUUAAAUUUAGUUUUAAUUUAAGUGAACAAGAAAUUUUCUGUUUGCCUAAACGCAUUCAUCGAAGUUUCACUAAAUUUGCCCUCGCUCUGAAGUCAGUGUUCAAUAAACUAGUUCUAAGUGUUGAGGCUUAAUCGUUAAGUUAUUGUUAAGCAUUUAUUGAUUUUGUUACGAAAACGCUCGAUUCGAUUGAUAAACUCGAUUGCAAUCAAUCAUUCGAUUGUAUGUAUGAUGAUCCGUGUGAAAUAAGGAUGCGAUUUAAACUAUGAUUGAAAUCGAUUAUCGUUAUCUAAAUGAGUGUUAUUCUGGUUAACACGAAACGAUAAUCAAAAAAGUUUGAUUGUGAAAUCAAUACGCGUUUUUUUUGUUAGAUUGAUUGCAUAUUUGCGUAAAAAUUGCUUUCUUUUUUUUUGUGUACCUUUUAAUUUGAACGAAAUAAAAACUUUCUGUUUUGUAACAUCGAUACGGUUCUUCUUUGUGUGAUAUUAUAUUAAGAUUGUGUUCGAUGACUAAAAUAAGGAAUCGAAUCAUACAUCCCAUCGAUUACCGAACUAUGUUUUACUGCCAAGUUAAAUAUUAAUUACUUUAUAUGAGACGUUAAGAAUGUUGACUAAUAAAUUUUAAUUUUCAUACAAAA
This is a long non-coding RNA of Bombyx mori (domestic silkworm), 4564 nucleotides long. RefSeq lists it as uncharacterized. The transcript is spliced from 2 exons. NCBI's taxonomy places the organism in Eukaryota, Metazoa, Arthropoda, Insecta, Lepidoptera, Bombycidae. The record is from RefSeq and is a predicted model, not a curated record.